RNAcentral lists this ribosomal RNA (406 nucleotides) under uncultured bacterium. Its description in RNAcentral is "partial 16S ribosomal RNA". It matches the Rfam family "Bacterial small subunit ribosomal RNA", at positions 29 to 526 of the family's 1533-position model. The record is from RNAcentral.
AUUGAACGCUGGCGGCAGGCCUAACCCAUGCAAGUCGAACGAGUGGCGGACGGGUGAGUAAUGUCUGGGAACCUGCCUGAUGGAGGGGGAUAACUACUGGAAACGGUAGCUAAUACCGCAUACCAUCGGAUGUGCCAAGAGGGGAUUAGCUAGUCGGGGGGGUAAAGGCUCACCUGGGCGACGAUCCCUAGCUGGUCUGAGAGGAUGACCAGCAACACUGGAACUGAGACACGGUCCAGGCUCCUACGGGAGGCAGCAGUGGGGAAUAUUGCACAAUGGGCGCAAGCCGGAGGCAGCAAUGCCGCGUGUAUGAAGAAGGCCUUAGGGUUGUAAAGUACUUUCAGCGGGGAGGCGUUACCCGCAGAAGAAGCACCGGCUAACUCCGUGCCAGCAGCCGCGGUAAUUC